This 406-nucleotide ribosomal RNA is filed under the name uncultured bacterium. Its description in RNAcentral is "partial 16S ribosomal RNA". It matches the Rfam family "Bacterial small subunit ribosomal RNA", at positions 28 to 526 of the family's 1533-position model. The record is from RNAcentral.
GACGAACGCUGGCGGCGUGCUUAACACAUGCAAGUCGAACGAGUGGCGGACGGGUGAGUAAUGUCUGGGAACCUGCCCGAUGGAGGGGGAUAACUACUGGAAACGGUAGCUAAUACCGCAUACCAUCGGAUGUGCCCAGAUGGGAUUAGCUAGUAGGUGGGGUAACGGCCCACCUAGGCGACGAUCCCUAGCUGGUCUGAGAGGAUGAUCCGCCACACUGGAACUGAGACACGGUCCAGACUCCUACGGGAGGCAGCAGUGGGGAAUGUUGCACAAUGGGCGCAAGCCUGAUCCAGCCAUGCCGCGUGUAUGAAGAAGGCCUUCGGGUUGUAAAGGACUUUCAGCGGGGAGGCGGUACUCGCAGAAUAAGCACCGGCUAACUCCGUGCCAGCAGCCGCGGUAAUAC